Long non-coding RNA from Talpa occidentalis (Iberian mole), 995 nucleotides. RefSeq lists it as uncharacterized. The record is from RefSeq and is a predicted model, not a curated record. The transcript is spliced from 5 exons. NCBI's taxonomy places the organism in Eukaryota, Metazoa, Chordata, Mammalia, Eulipotyphla, Talpidae.
GAAAAGCUUGAGGCUUCCUCACCAUUCACCUCUUUUCUCUCUCCAGCUUUCCAACAUAUCUGUCAGAUCCUGCAUCUUUCAUCGUCCGUUGUGAGUCUUCGUGAGGAGGGUCACUUUCAGGUUUAAAAAGUUUCGUAGAUGUGUCAUAUGUAUUAAAUCAAAUUUAAAAAAAUGCCUAGUUGAGUCAACCAUCAGAGCGUAGUGCCUCCCAUCAGAAGGCACAGCCUCCAGGAUGGCAAUACUGUCACCCAGUGCUGGCCCAGCCAUGACCAAGGGCAGUGGCGCCAUGUCUGGAUGAUCUCACUUCAAGGCAAAAGUGGUGCCACAGAGGAGCGUUACCUGCAGCCUUUCAGAGACAGGAUUGGCACCAACUUUCUUCUGCUGGUUUUCUAUGAUCAUGUUUUCCUGCUGGGGUCACCUCUUGUCAUGAGAAGACAGCACAUCAGUCUCUCCUUAUAAUACAUCAAAGCCCCUCCACCGAGUUCCUGAACCCCGUCGGCCUGCAGGACGGACCGACAAGUGGCGCCCAGCGUGGGACACGAGUACGAGGGAUCCUCUGAGGGACCGAUCCAUCAGUAAGAUGGGAAAGCUGAGGCAUAAAGGGCAGGAUAACCUGCCAGGGUCACAGCGUAAGUGAUAGAACCAAGCCUCAAACUCAGGGAACUGUGGCACUGAUGUUGCUUGCUUGAGAAAAGGCCAGAGCCGAGUGCCACAGCAGAUGGCAUGUUCUCUCACCACCGGCAGGGCCAAGGCAAUCCUGGCUGGUCACACCCUCCACCUGGAGAAAGGUCUGGUGCUCCUUCUUCCCUCUCCUUCCCCCAGACUCCAAAAUUCCUGCAGUUCAUUAGGAGAGAUGCCGCAUUUAACACUCAGCGUGGCUACUUCACUGAGCAAUUGCCAAGAACGGCAUUUUUAUCAAGACAAAACACAAUCAAAUUUGAAAGGAAAUGUGUUUUGUAUGUUCAUCAGUAUCAGAGAAUUAUUGUUACAUGGGU